UGGGGAAUCUUGGACAAUGGGGGCAACCCUGAUCCAGCAAUGCCGCGUGUGGGAUGAAGGCCUUCGGGUUGUAAACCACUUUUGGCGGGGGCGAAAUAUCGAGUGCUAAUACCAUUCGGUGAUGACGGUACCCGCAGAAUAAGCACCGGCUAACUACGUGCCAGCAGCCGCGGUAAUACGUAGGGUGCAAGCGUUAAUCGGAAUUACUGGGCGUAAAGCGUGCGCAGGCGGUUAGGUAAGACAGGUGUGAAAUUCCCGGGCUCAACCUGGGAACUGCAUUUGUGACUGCCUGACUAGAGUGCGGCAGAGGGGAGUGGAAUUCCGCGUGUAGCAGUGAAAUGCGUAGAUAUGCGGAGGAACACCGAUGGCGAAGGCAACUCCCUGGGCCUGCACUGACGCUCAUGCACGAAAAGCGUGGGGAGCAAACAGGAUUAGAUACCCUGGUAGUCCACGCCCUAAACGAUGUCGACUAGUUGUUGGACGGGUUACUGUUCAGUAACGAAGCUAACGCGUGAAGUCGACCGCCUGGGGAGUAC
This 536-nucleotide ribosomal RNA is filed under the name uncultured bacterium. Its description in RNAcentral is "partial 16S ribosomal RNA". It matches the Rfam family "Bacterial small subunit ribosomal RNA", at positions 355 to 883 of the family's 1533-position model. The record is from RNAcentral.